AAGGAUCAUUAUUGAAUAAGGCUUGGUUGGGUUGCUGCUGGCUUUUAGGAGCAUGUGCACACUCAUUCCAUCUUUUAAACCCACCUGUGCACAUAUUGUAGGCCUGAUCUUUUUCGAGGAAACUCGGUUUGAGAAUUGCGUUCAGCUGUUCUUGCAUUUCAGGUCUAUGUUUCAAACAUAUACUCCAUAAACAAGUAAUAGAAUGUCAAUCAUAGGCCUUCUGGUGCCUUUAAACCUAAUACAACUUUCAACAACGGAUCUCUUGGCUCUC
This 271-nucleotide unclassified non-coding RNA is filed under the name uncultured fungus. RNAcentral describes it as "partial contains 18S rRNA, ITS1, 5.8S rRNA, ITS2 and 28S rRNA". The record is from RNAcentral. Lineage: Eukaryota; Fungi.